RNAcentral lists this long non-coding RNA (1261 nucleotides) under Equus asinus (donkey). RNAcentral's name for it is "lncRNA (ENSEASG00005032401.1)". Lineage: Eukaryota; Metazoa; Chordata; Mammalia; Perissodactyla; Equidae. The record is from RNAcentral.
UGGUUGAGAAGAAAAGCUAAGCCGUCCUGUCAAUGGCUACAUGUAGUCACCCCAGUUCAAGUUUAUUUGUUCAGACCAUCAGUUGGUCCUUAGUGGCUUUUUUUUCUUUUUUCUGAAGAAGAUUGGCCCUAAGCUAACAUCUGUGCCGGUCUUUCUCUAUUUUGUGUGUGGGAGGCGGCCACCGCGUAGCUUGAUGAGCAGUGCUAGGUCUGUACCUGGGAUCUGAACCCAGGCACCUGGCCGCAGAAGUGGAGCACAGGAACUUAACCCCUAUGCCAUGCAGGUCAUCACUUGAUAUCCGUCCAUCAUUCAUGCUUUAGUGUAAAUUUUAAUUGGCUUGACAUCCACUAACACUGUCUCAGACUGGACUGAUCUAAGCUAAAAGCAGAUUUCACUGAAAGAGUGAAUACAAAGCGUGUUUGUUUGCUGAAGGAUAAAGGAAGCAGCAAGGAAAAGUUUUGCUGUGUGAAGAUCCCAUAGCCAGCCUCCUGCUGAAGACCGCUUAGCAAGUGGCUUUUUCCAAAAAGUAGGAUCAACCUGCCCCAUCAUGCUACUUCGAAAAGCCUGGAGUAACAGAACAAGGAGAGCAAAAUAAGAGGUUUGUCUGGCAGUUCCUCUCAUCUAUACCCAAUUCCACUUGAGAAUGUCAUCUUCUGCCCUACACUUGCACAGAAAACUUGAUCCAUAAAUGGAUAGCUUCCGGUCCAGGUUGCAAAUAGAAAACACGUACUAAAAUAUUUUUAGUGGGGUUCUGCCACCCACAUCUUUCCACAAAGAUCAUGUCUUGGGGAGAAUAGGGAGGAGAGGAAGAAAUGAAGCAUUUUGAGCUCCCCAAAGAUACCUACCCACAUGCAUUGAAAUACUAAUAAUUAAUAGCGUCCAAACUCCAAAAAAUGAGAAAGGCCUUUAAAUUAGAAGCCAUCUGUUUCUAUAAGCUUGUCCACUUGCCAUCAUAUAAAGAGAUUUGAAAUUGGUACUUGGGACUAUAUUUUAGUAUUUUGAUGUUUGCGUGUUAUAAUUUAUUGUCUCCUGGUUAAAAAAAAAAGAGGUGGUAAGUUUUUUUGCUUUGUUUGUUUAUCUAACAGGUUGCAUCAUACUAUAUCAGCUGUUCUUAAAGUGUGGCCUGAGACUAAAACCUUUUCAAUGGAUCAUGUAAUGCAGUCAAACUACUUUCAUAAUGAUAAUAACAUGAUUUGUCUUUAUCAUUCUCAUUCUUUCAUGAGUGUCCAAUGGAGUUUUCCAGAAGCAACAUGACGUGAUG